GACGAACGCUGGCGGCGUGCUUAACACAUGCAAGUCGAACGGAAAGGCCCUGCUUGCAGGGUACUCGAGUGGCGAACGGGUGAGUAACACGUGGGUGAUCUGCCCUGCACUUCGGGAUAAGCCUGGGAAACUGGGUCUAAUACCGGAUAGGAGCCAUUUUUAGUGUGAUGGUUGGAAAGUUUUUUCGGUGUAGGAUGAGCUCGCGGCCUAUCAGCUUGUUGGUGGGGUAAUGGCCUACCAAGGCGGCGACGGGUAGCCGGCCUGAGAGGGUGGACGGCCACAUUGGGACUGAGAUACGGCCCAGACGCCUACGGGAGGCAGCAGUGGGGAAUAUUGCACAAUGGGCGCAAGCCUGAUGCAGCGACGCCGCGUGGGGGAUGACGGCCUUCGGGUUGUAAAAUCCUUUCGCUAGGGACGAAGCUUUUUGUGACGGUACCUAGAUAAGAAGCACCGGCUAACUACGUG
Molecule: ribosomal RNA, 465 nt
Filed under: uncultured bacterium
Lineage: Bacteria
Description: partial 16S ribosomal RNA
Rfam family: Bacterial small subunit ribosomal RNA
Source: RNAcentral